This is a long non-coding RNA of Culex pipiens pallens (northern house mosquito), 585 nucleotides long. RefSeq lists it as uncharacterized. Lineage: Eukaryota; Metazoa; Arthropoda; Insecta; Diptera; Culicidae. The record is from RefSeq and is a predicted model, not a curated record. The transcript has 3 exons.
UUUGACCGUUCUCUCUUGAGAGUGCAAGGCAAACGUCAGCCAUCUUCGUGUUCUGCAAAUCGGUGCGUGUUGAGUUUUCGUGUUAAAAAAACUGAAACCCCUUGAUAAUUCGAGGUUUAUUCAGUAAAAAUAUUAAACUGAACGACGAUUCUCCGGAGGUUGCCGAAGGUUAAACGGAAAAUAUGCCCUUCGUUGGUGCUACGGGAUCGGUCCGGCAACCCACUCCACCUAAGCAACAAUCAAAUUGGCCGCCGUGAGUGCUUCAAGAUCAAGCAGAAGUUGUGUUAAAAUAUUAACGAAAAACGAAAGAUAAAAAUCACACCAAUACCAGCAGGUGGACCACUAAAAUUACAUCAAUAUGAAAAUUACAUCAAAGAAUAUUCAGCUCGUGUAAAAUUCAAUGCGCCUUCAUAGGCUAGAAAGAAACAUGUAAUUUUCAAAUCUGCUGUAAUUUUGUAGCAGAUAUGACGCUCCAGUUAUGUGCAUCGAAUUAACAGAAAAUUACACGAUUAUUUUUUGGUGUGUAGUUGUGAAUGCUUCAGAAAUUAAUAUCAUCUGAAAUAAAUCUUGACGUGAAACUUUCAG